Ananas comosus (pineapple) is the source of this 380-nucleotide long non-coding RNA. RefSeq lists it as uncharacterized. The record is from RefSeq and is a predicted model, not a curated record. The transcript is spliced from 3 exons. Lineage: Eukaryota; Viridiplantae; Streptophyta; Magnoliopsida; Poales; Bromeliaceae.
CAUGGGUCCGUUCCAAAUGAUGGUGUUGGUGGUAUCCAGGGCUUCAUUAAAUGUCUUGCUCGCGUCGGGUCCGAUGUCGAGACCCAUCCAGCCAUCUGGAAUUUCCGACGCUUGUACGACCUACAAAACAAAAGGGCGCUAAGAAACUCAUUUCUACUCACAAUCAAAGCCAGCCGCUCCUGGAGCAUUUCGGGCUUUUGCUUCUCAAGUAGAGAAGUUUCAAAAGUGCAGUGAAAUUGAUGCAGCUGAGGAUAAUAGCGACAAAGCAAGUUCACUGAAGCUGUCAAUAUCACUACAGGUUUCGAAACCCGGGUCAAAGAAGCCCUAGAAUAUCAGAAGGAAAAGAGAAAAGACGACUUCAGUGGAGGAACAAACCUUGC